RNAcentral lists this ribosomal RNA (98 nucleotides) under Salvator merianae (Argentine black and white tegu). The record is from RNAcentral. Lineage: Eukaryota; Metazoa; Chordata; Lepidosauria; Squamata; Teiidae.
CUCCCUAGUCAACCUUGGCUGAUAUUAGAAAACUAAACAGUGUUGGAGCUGGUUAGUAUUUGGAUGGGCAGCCACUAGGAAAUUCCAGGACUGUGAGC